Molecule: long non-coding RNA, 723 nt
Filed under: Ursus maritimus (polar bear)
Lineage: Eukaryota; Metazoa; Chordata; Mammalia; Carnivora; Ursidae
Description: lncRNA (ENSUMAG00000019253.1)
Source: RNAcentral
CGUCCCCUUGCCGGUGGCAGGAGAGCAGGAGGAUAUGCUUCGCGUCUUGGGGAGACACCUCCUGCCCCUUUGCCGCCCCCCGUUCCCCACUGGGUCACCUCAGCACCUGGCCAAACAGCUGGUCCCCAUUUGCCCGAGCUAGCGCGAGCCCAGGACGUGAGGAGGGAGGCUGCCCUCUGCCCCGCGGGGAGGCCUGCCUGGGAUCCUGGAGGGUUGAGGAGGGGCCGCAGAGGCAGGUGGGAGGAGGCCUGGGCCAAGCUUCCUCAGAGCUGGGGCCACCAGCCGGAAAGAGCUCUGGAAACCGGCCUUGCUUUUCCCCUCGCUGCCGGGAAUGCCCACACGAGAGUAGCUCAAGUUAAUGAGCAAACUGCCCAGGCCAGGAAGGCAGGCGGCUCUCGGGCACCCCGCCUCCCUGCUCAAGCACAGGCAGCACUUGAAUGCCACUUGCCGGACCAAGGGAGGGCGGCAGAUGCUCUGGGACGUUUCCCCUUUGGAGGCUGCUCGAGAUACCUGGCUGAUAAAGGGCUGAUUUGCAGAGACUUAAUUAUGGCCCGAAGCCCUCAGUGUAAACAAUGGGAUUUCCUACUCAGGGGCUGCAACUCCCAGCCUUGGGUUCGAGUCCAGCUCCAUCUCCCAGGAGAUCCAUCCCUCCAUCCUCUGAGGCUUCGUUCCCUGGGCCUGGGUGGGGUCACCAGGCACCAGGCUUAGCCCAAGGCAGGCAAG